GUGGGGAAUCUUGCGCAAUGGGCGAAAGCCUGACGCAGCCAUGCCGCGUGAAUGAUGAAGGUCUUAGGAUUGUAAAAUUCUUUCACCGGGGACGAUAAUGACGGUACCCGGAGAAGAAGCCCCGGCUAACUUCGUGCCAGCAGCCGCGGUAAUACGAAGGGGGCUAGCGUUGCUCGGAAUUACUGGGCGUAAAGGGCGCGUAGGCGGACAGUUUAGUCAGAGGUGAAAGCCCAGGGCUCAACCUUGGAAUUGCCUUUGAUACUGGCUGUCUUGAGUACGGGAGAGGUGAGAGGAACUCCGAGUGUAGAGGUGAAAUUCGUAGAUAUUCGGAAGAACACCAGUGGCGAAGGCGACUCACUGGCCCGUUACUGACGCUGAGGCGCGAAAGCGUGGGGAGCAAACAGGAUUAGAAACCCCGGUAGUCC
Molecule: ribosomal RNA, 425 nt
Filed under: uncultured bacterium
Lineage: Bacteria
Description: partial 16S ribosomal RNA
Rfam family: Bacterial small subunit ribosomal RNA
Source: RNAcentral